UUGUCUUAUUGCCCUCACAUAUUGGCACGUCUUAUUGUUAGUUUUUUCUCCUUAGCUGUCCUACCACUGUAAUCUACUAAUCUUAACAUUAAAUUCGCAUACUAUUAGCCGCGGACUACUGUGAAACUGCCAAACAAACAAAAAAACGCGUUAUUUUUCUACUCCUUCCAGCCAGUUCCAGGCAGUUUCCCUCCCCAAGAUGAGCUCUCUCUCAACUCUCAGUACUAUUUAUACCCAUCUUCCCUUUCAAAACUCUUCACUCCAACUCUAACACUCAUCACUUCUUCUCUUUUCCAUCAAUCUUGUUUAAGAUCUAUUAUUAUGGCCUCUUUUGUUGCCCCUCAUUUUCUUCUUAAGCUCCUUUUAUUAGUCUCUCUUGUUCAUUUUAGCUCAGCAGUAAGGAGACUCGCAGAGUCUGAUCAAAACCAGCACCCCUUGUUGUUUCAAUACCACAAUGGUCCUCUUCUUACUGGCAAAAUUUCUAUCAACUUGAUUUGGUACGGUAACUUCAAACCUGCCCAACGUGCCAUUGUCUCAGAUUUCAUUACCUCCCUUUCUUCUGCUCAACCCACCACGUCCCAACCUUCUGUUGCUACCUGGUGGAAAGCCACAGAGAAAUACUACCACCUCGUCAAAUCCAAGAAAACCGCUCCUCUCGCCCUUUCCUUGGGCACCCAAAUCUUUGAUGAAAGUUAUUCAUUAGGCAAAUCGCUCUCCAGUAAGCACAUUGUUCAAUUAGCCUCCAAGGGUGGUCAAAAAGAUGCUAUCAAUGUGGUUUUGACGUCGUCCGAUGUGGCUGUGCAAGGGUUUUGCUCUAUCAGGUGUGGCACUCAUGGUUCUUCUAUGAGUGGUCAAAAAAUCAAUGGCAAAAGCUCCAAAUUUGCUUACAUCUGGGUUGGGAAUUCUGAGACUCAAUGCCCAGGUCAAUGUGCUUGGCCAUUCCACCAGCCAAUCUAUGGACCACAAAGCCCACCUCUUGUUGCGCCCAACAACGAUGUAGGUCUUGAUGGUAUGGUCAUCAAUUUGGCUAGCCUUUUAGCUGGAACUGUGACCAAUCCAUUUGGAAAUGGAUACUUCCAAGGUCCAAAGGAGGCUCCCCUGGAAGCUGCAUCGGCUUGCCCUGGGGUAUAUGGAAAGGGAGCCUAUCCCGGUUAUGCAGGGGAUCUCUUGGUGGACGCUACAACUGGUGCUAGCUACAAUGCACACGGUGUUGAUGGCAGGAAAUAUUUGCUUCCCGCUUUGUUUGAUCCUUCAACCUCAGCUUGUUCGACUCUGGUCUGAAACGCGCUCACCAAUCUUCUUGUAAAACAUAAGUAACUGUAGAAUUGCGAGAAAAACAGAAUAUUCUUUGAUUUUUUAUCAUUAAAUUCAUUCAUUUGUAGUACCGUUAAUGAAUAAUGAAAACGCAGAUUUUCUUCCGAAUAAUUUUGUUUUAUAUCUUUUUCCCAAUUUAUUUGUAAAUUUACAAGGAUAACUAUUAA
This 1481-nucleotide unclassified non-coding RNA is filed under the name Hevea brasiliensis (rubber tree). The record is from RNAcentral. Lineage: Eukaryota; Viridiplantae; Streptophyta; Magnoliopsida; Malpighiales; Euphorbiaceae.